CUUUUUCUUAAUAGAAAUCUAUUUUCUAAAAAGAUUUAUAAAAUAUUUAGCAAACGCGGAGAAAGAAAAGCCCAAGCUGUCAUUAUAUAAACGGUGAAAAGUUGAAGCUGGAGAAAUCAUAUUGAAAUCUCUCUCAUUGUCGUUACUCAUCUCGAGAAAUAAUGGAAGCUACUCAAAUACUUCUGUGUUUAAUUCUAACCCUAUUAUGUUACUGUUUUAUAUAUCUUUUAUGCCGCUCUAUUCUUUCAUUCUUCUUCAAACUUUUUCUAGUCAUAUGUUUUCCUGUCACUCAAGCAUUGUCGUUUCUGUUCAUGAAUAUCAAGUCCAAGAAAUAUAUUGCAGUUGCUGUUGUUUUGUGCAUGCUCAUCGGAAAACAAGUUCUUUCAAUUAACUACGGAGCUAUGUUAAUCAGAAUCGUUCUCAUCUUACUCUAUAAGGAGUUGAAGGAACUUUACUUCAGGUCAU
Long non-coding RNA from Medicago truncatula (barrel medic), 465 nucleotides. RefSeq lists it as uncharacterized. The transcript is spliced from 3 exons. The record is from RefSeq and is a predicted model, not a curated record. NCBI's taxonomy places the organism in Eukaryota, Viridiplantae, Streptophyta, Magnoliopsida, Fabales, Fabaceae.